This 250-nucleotide long non-coding RNA is filed under the name Phoenix dactylifera (date palm). Its description in RNAcentral is "long non-coding RNA (PDAC_LNC007953)". The record is from RNAcentral. Lineage: Eukaryota; Viridiplantae; Streptophyta; Magnoliopsida; Arecales; Arecaceae.
AUGAAAGAGAAUUGAUGGAUUUCAUAAAAAGAAAACUGAUUACAAAUAAAAAUGAAGAUUAGAGGCCUAAUACUCCUUCUCUUUUGCAAAUAAAAUAAAGAAAAGAAAACAGGAAGAAAAAAAAAACAAUUUCAUUGUCUCUCUCCCUUUCUCUUCCACAGUGGAACUCUCCAUUUUUUUACUUUUGUUUCCUUCAAGAACAGAGCAUGCUCUGUUCUUCUUGGAUGUGAGCUCCCCUUGGUAUCAGNNN